Non-coding RNA from Acanthosepion pharaonis, 113 nucleotides. The record is from the annotation of a GenBank genome assembly. NCBI's taxonomy places the organism in Eukaryota, Metazoa, Mollusca, Cephalopoda, Sepiida, Sepiidae.
UACAGCCACAUCAUGAUUAAGCACUGAUUCCCAUAACAUCAACAAAGUUAAGCAACAUCGAGCCUGGUCAGUACCUAAAUGAGUGACCACUUGGGAAUACUAGGUACUGUAAG